RNAcentral lists this ribosomal RNA (253 nucleotides) under uncultured prokaryote. Its description in RNAcentral is "partial 16S ribosomal RNA". It matches the Rfam family "Bacterial small subunit ribosomal RNA", at positions 524 to 776 of the family's 1533-position model. The record is from RNAcentral.
UACAGAGGUGGCAAGCGUUGUUCGGAAUUACUGGGCGUAAAGGGCGCGUAGGCGGCCUUCUAAGUCAGACGUGAAAUCCCCCGGCUUAACCUGGGAACUGCGUCUGAUACUGGAGGGCUUGAGUAUGGGAGAGGGAUGUAGAAUUCCAGGUGUAGCGGUGAAAUGCGUAGAGAUGUGGAGGAACACCGAUGGCGAAGGCAGCCUCCUGGGCCAGCACUGACGCUCAUGCACAAAAGCGUGGGGAGCAAACAGG